RNAcentral lists this ribosomal RNA (497 nucleotides) under uncultured bacterium. RNAcentral's name for it is "partial 16S ribosomal RNA". It matches the Rfam family "Bacterial small subunit ribosomal RNA", at positions 28 to 507 of the family's 1533-position model. The record is from RNAcentral.
GAUGAACGCUGGCGGCGUGCCUAAUACAUGCAAGUCGAGCGAACGGACGAGAAGCUUGCUUCUCUGAUGUUAGCGGCGGACGGGUGAGUAACACGUGGAUAACCUACCUAUAAGACUGGGAUAACUUCGGGAAACCGGAGCUAAUACCGGAUAAUAUUUUGAACCGCAUGGUUCAAAAGUGAAAGACGGUCUUGCUGUCACUUAUAGAUGGAUCCGCGCUGCAUUAGCUAGUUGGUAAGGUAACGGCUUACCAAGGCAACGAUGCAUAUCCGACCUGAGAGGGUGAUCGGCCACACUGGAAGUGAGACACGGUCCAGACUCCUACGGGAGGCAGCAGUAGGGAAUCUUCCGCAAUGGGCGAAAGCCUGACGGAGCAACGCCGCGUGAGUGAUGAAGGUCUUCGGAUCGUAAAACUCUGUUAUUAGGGAAGAACAUAUGUGUAAGUAACUGUGCACAGCUUGACGGUACCUAAUCAGAAAGCCACGGCUAACUACGUG